Molecule: ribosomal RNA, 1026 nt
Filed under: Triticum aestivum (bread wheat)
Lineage: Eukaryota; Viridiplantae; Streptophyta; Magnoliopsida; Poales; Poaceae
Description: partial small subunit ribosomal RNA
Source: RNAcentral
AUGUCCUCCUCCGCGCCGCCGCGUGACGCGCGACACCGUCGACAGCAGGAAGCUGCUGAGGAAGUUGCCGACGCCGAGGCUGAUCAUGGCGUAGGACGUGCCGAGGCUCUUCAUCCCCUCGGGCGCCUGGUCGUAGAAGAACUCGAUCUUGGCCACCUCCAGGAAGGCGUCGGCGACGCCCAUGAACACGAACUGCGGGAGCAGCACGAAGAUGGAGAGCGGGACCAUCGUGCCCCUGCUGUCGAGCACGCCGUUCUCGCGCGCCACGGCCAGGCGGCGCCGCUCAGUCGCCGACGCGACCACCAUGAUCGCGAUGUGGAGGACGAGCCCGACGCCCAUCCGCUGGAGCAGCGAGAUGCCCCGCGGGUUCUUUGUCAGGCGCCGCGUGCAGGGCACGAAGAGGCGGUCGUAGAGCACGACGGAGACGAGCAUGGAGACGGUCACGAACCCCUGCAGGCUCGCCGGCGGGAUGUCGAAGCCGCCGACGCGCCGCUCCAGCGUCGUGCCCUGCUUCACGAACAGCGUGUUGAUCUGGGCCAGCAUCGCGCUCGGCACGAACGUGAUGAACAGCACGGGAAGCAUCUUGAGCAUCUGCUUCGUCUCCUUCACCUGCGUCACCGUGCUCAGCGACCACCGCGACGUGCUCCCGGUCCCGGUCCUCACCGCCGCUUUGCUCAGCACACUGAAAUUCGGCGUGUGGGGCAGCGAGGACGUCUUUUUCCUGUCGUAGUGCUCGGGGUCGAGCUCGUGCAGGUCGCGCGGGUCCGCGGGCGCCGGGACGCGGCACUUGCGGACGGCGGCGACGAUGACCCCGGCCAUCUUGGCGAGGGAGCUCUCGGGUGCUGUGUUUUGAUUUUCGGUUUGUGUUUUUUUUUCGUCCUUGGCCGAAAUGGGCGAAUUUCGCGAAUUUUAAAUUUUUCGGCAAAAUCUCGGACGAAAUUUCAAAAUCAAAAUUUGAAAAUUUGGCCAAAAUUUGACCGAAAUUUGGCCGAAAUUCGGCCGAAAUUCCAACAAGAUUUGAAAUAA